RNAcentral lists this ribosomal RNA (253 nucleotides) under uncultured bacterium. RNAcentral's name for it is "partial 16S ribosomal RNA". It matches the Rfam family "Bacterial small subunit ribosomal RNA", at positions 524 to 776 of the family's 1533-position model. The record is from RNAcentral.
AACGUAGGAGGCAAGCGUUAUCCGGAUUUACUGGGCGUAAAGCGCGUGCAGGCGGUUUGGUAAGUCGGACGUGAAAGCUCCUGGCUCAACUGGGAGAGGCCGUUCGAUACUACCGAACUAGAGGGCAGGAGAGGGAGGUGGAAUUCCGGGUGUAGCGGUGAAAUGCGUAGAUAUCCGGAGGAACACCAGUGGCGAAGGCGGCCUCCUGGUCUGCCCCUGACGCUCAGACGCGAAAGCUAGGGGAGCGAACGGG